RNAcentral lists this ribosomal RNA (476 nucleotides) under Bacillus licheniformis. RNAcentral describes it as "bacterial SSU rRNA". It matches the Rfam family "Bacterial small subunit ribosomal RNA", at positions 54 to 511 of the family's 1533-position model. Lineage: Bacteria; Bacillati; Bacillota; Bacilli; Caryophanales; Bacillaceae. The record is from RNAcentral.
AAUGCAAGUCGAGCGGACCGACGGGAGCUUGCUCCCUUAGGUCAGCGGCGGACGGGUGAGUAACACGUGGGUAACCUGCCUGUAAGACUGGGAUAACUCCGGGAAACCGGGGCUAAUACCGGAUGCUUGAUUGAACCGCAUGGUUCAAUCAUAAAAGGUGGCUUUUAGCUACCACUUACAGAUGGACCCGCGGCGCAUUAGCUAGUUGGUGAGGUAACGGCUCACCAAGGCGACGAUGCGUAGCCGACCUGAGAGGGUGAUCGGCCACACUGGGACUGAGACACGGCCCAGACUCCUACGGGAGGCAGCAGUAGGGAAUCUUCCGCAAUGGACGAAAGUCUGACGGAGCAACGCCGCGUGAGUGAUGAAGGUUUUCGGAUCGUAAAACUCUGUUGUUAGGGAAGAACAAGUACCGUUCGAAUAGGGCGGUACCUUGACGGUACCUAACCAGAAAGCCACGGCUAACUACGUGCCAG